Molecule: ribosomal RNA, 290 nt
Filed under: uncultured Desulfovibrio sp.
Lineage: Bacteria; Pseudomonadati; Thermodesulfobacteriota; Desulfovibrionia; Desulfovibrionales; Desulfovibrionaceae
Description: partial 16S ribosomal RNA
Rfam family: Bacterial small subunit ribosomal RNA
Source: RNAcentral
ACGCAACCCUCGCCUUUAGCUGCCAGCAUUCAGUUGGGGCGACUCUAGAGGGGACUGCCGGGUGGUCAAACCGGAGGAAGGUGGGGAUGACGUCAAGUCCUCAUGGCCUUUAUGUCUAGGGCUACACACGUACUACAAUGGCCGGUACAAAGGGCAGCCACUCAGCGAUGAGGCGCUAAUCCCAUAAAGCCGGUCUCAGUCCGGAUCGCAGUCUGCAACUCGACUGCGUGAAGUUGGAAUCGCUAGUAAUCGUAGAUCAGCAUGCUACGGUGAAUACGUUCCCGGGCCUU